UGACGAAUAGGAGAGUGGAGAGGAUGGAUGAAUAUAAAAGUUGUGAAGAUUAGGGAUUUGAAACCGAUGUGUGCCUUUUGAUUGCUAAAGUAAUGAUUUUGGGGUUUAUGAGUGAUUAUUGUAGGCUUUGACUCCUUGAGAGAGAGAGUGAGUCGCGGUGGUUCCCUGCCGGCGAAAACUCCUGACAAGUAGGCUUUGACUCUGGUAUACGGUAGUCCCCUUGAUGCUGUGUAGCCGGCUUUGGAUUCUGGUGGUUCGCGCUUUCUUUGGGGGAACCAUUCGGCGUAGUAGUUUGAUCUCGGUUGGUGUUGAUGUUGUGAUGAGAAGAUCAUGGGGUAUGGUCUUUGGAUUGGUGUGUUCUGUUUCUUAAGUUUGGUUAGCCGAUGGCGCUAAGUGAUUGAUUACGGGUUUAGGUUUGAGUUUUUGGAUGAGAUCUCGAUUCCAAUCGAUUGAUGCUCUCUAAAACUCAGACUGUGUGGCUUGCUGCUGAAUUUUCUAAACCUCCAAUACAGUUGUUGGAGGUGGCUUUUCGGUGGUUGUGGGUGAAGUCCCGGUGGAGUCAGGUGUUUAAUCGCUCUGUUUGGUUGGUGGUGUCUAUUAAGUCGGAGAAGAUGAUGGAGGAUGGUGUUCCUGGUGUGACGCCGGUGUGAUUCGGUGGUUCCGGUGCAUCGUCGUUCAGUCUCCGGCGUAGAAUCUCGAGAUGACGAUA
This 709-nucleotide long non-coding RNA is filed under the name Brassica napus (rape). RNAcentral describes it as "long non-coding RNA (BNAP_LNC020595)". The record is from RNAcentral. Lineage: Eukaryota; Viridiplantae; Streptophyta; Magnoliopsida; Brassicales; Brassicaceae.